RNAcentral lists this ribosomal RNA (553 nucleotides) under Salmonella enterica subsp. enterica serovar Dublin. Its description in RNAcentral is "partial 23S ribosomal RNA". It matches the Rfam family "Bacterial large subunit ribosomal RNA", at positions 671 to 1221 of the family's 2925-position model. The record is from RNAcentral. Lineage: Bacteria; Pseudomonadati; Pseudomonadota; Gammaproteobacteria; Enterobacterales; Enterobacteriaceae.
GGGAAACCGAGUCUUAAUUGGGCGUUAAGUUGCAGGGUAUAGACCCGAAACCCGGUGAUCUAGCCAUGGGCAGGUUGAAGGUUGGGUAACACUAACUGGAGGACCGAACCGACUAAUGUUGAAAAAUUAGCGGAUGACCUGUGGCUGGGGGUGAAAGGCCAAUCAAACCGGGAGAUAGCUGGUUCUCCCCGAAAGCUAUUUAGGUAGCGCCUCGUGAAUUCAUCUCCGGGGGUAGAGCACUGUUUCGGCUAGGGGGCCAUCCCGGCUUACCAACCCGAUGCAAACUGCGAAUACCGGAGAAUGUUAUCACGGGAGACACACGGCGGGUGCUAACGUCCGUCGUGAAGAGGGAAACAACCCAGACCGCCAGCUAAGGUCCCAAAGUCAUGGUUAAGUGGGAAACGAUGUGGGAAGGCCCAGACAGCCAGGAUGUUGGCUUAGAAGCAGCCAUCAUUUAAAGAAAGCGUAAUAGCUCACUGGUCGAGUCGGCCUGCGCGGAAGAUGUAACGGGGCUAAACCAUGCACCGAAGCUGCGGCAGCGACGCUUAUGCGU